Molecule: ribosomal RNA, 253 nt
Filed under: uncultured bacterium
Lineage: Bacteria
Description: partial 16S ribosomal RNA
Rfam family: Bacterial small subunit ribosomal RNA
Source: RNAcentral
UACGUAGGGUGCAAGCGUUAAUCGGAAUUACUGGGCGUAGAGCGUGCGCAGGCGGCUUUGCAAGACAGAUGUGAAAUCCCCGGGCUUAACCUGGGAACUGCAUUCGAGACUGCAUUGCUAGAGUAUGGGAGAGGGAAGUGGAAUUUCCGGUGUAGCGGUGAAAUGCGUAGAUAUCAGGAGGAACACCGGUGGCGAAGGCGGGUCUCUGGGCAGUAACUGACGCUGAGGAGCGAAAGCGUGGGGAGCGAACAGG